Molecule: transfer RNA, 73 nt
Filed under: uncultured Actinomycetes bacterium
Lineage: Bacteria; Bacillati; Actinomycetota; Actinomycetes
Also listed under: 1 other name
Description: uncultured actinobacterium tRNA-Gly
Rfam family: tRNA
About the family: Transfer RNA (tRNA) molecules are approximately 80 nucleotides in length. Their secondary structure includes four short double-helical elements and three loops (D, anti-codon, and T loops).
Source: RNAcentral
GCGGGCGUAGUUCAGUGGUAGAACACCAGCUUCCCAAGCUGGAUAUGCGGGUUCGAUUCCCGUCGCCCGCUCC